UAAAACUUUUGUACAAAAUGUGUCAGAGUGAACAUGUUCUUUUGCAAUUUCAUUUAUUUUGGUCAACAAUAUGUGACUUUUCUUCAUGAACAUCCUGCAUAUUCCUUGUUUCAUUUAUCCUUGGUUAUUUAGAACAUUUCUUCUAUUUUAAUGCUAACUUCAAUUGACUCAAAUUUUGUUGACGGCUUGUGAGAUCAACCAAAAGCUAAAUGAAAUCAGUCUUCUGUGUGUGUGUUUGUUUUUAAUGCUUUCUAGAUUAGUCUGACAUGCACACCCAAUCGGAAAACACUAGCGCAGAAGAGGGAGAGCCUAAUAUCAGCAUUACCUAGGUAUUAGAAGAAUUUGGAUAUUAUUAUAUACACCUGGCAUGAUAGCUAGGACAGAACCUGUUCUGCCGGGAGAAGGCGCCUGCUCAGGGUUUCUCUUUCCCUACAUGGGAACCCCUGAAGGAGAGUCCUGCCUGUGAUCUUCAUUUAGAAGGCUAGUGCUGACCACUGCUUGGUUCUCAUCAAUCCAUCCUUGAGAUAUCCCCAAUCUCAUCUUAAAUCUGAAUUGAACCUGUCAUAUUAUAGCCUGGCUCUUCUCUCACCAACUAUUUGGGGAACCCAGCCAACAUACUGUGAUGAAGCCUAAACAACUGUGGAGAGGCUCACGUGGAGAGGAGUCAAUGCCCACUGAUCUAUAAGCCUUGGCUGAGCUCUGAGCCAACAGUCAUGAUCAACUUCCAGCCGUAUAAGUGAACCAUCUUGAAAGAGGCUUCACCAGCACCAAGUUGAGCAACUUGAUUAUGUUACCAAAGAUCACCUCCUUCCUAUCAUCUUCCGUCUGAGACUUGCUUAGAGUGAGUUUGGAAGCUGUGUUUUGCUCAUCCUGAAGACUGAACAUAAGAAAAUAUUGCUCAAGUUCUGGAUGAUGCAGCUGCUGAAAUAAUCUGUGGUGCACUUUCCUUCAGGAAUCCUUACCUAUUUUUUCAGGUGUUCCACAAGCCUUCUUAUCUUGGAAUUCAGUAAUACUUAUUGUGUGGUUGCUUACUGUUCCCUAGGCACCCUGAAGCAUUGAAGCUUUGAAGCUUUGUCUCAUGCUUUCAAGUAAUGUUCUCGUGUUUACCUGCUGAUAUUCCUUCAAAGUUAGAGGCUGCCUCUCUCCAAGUGUGGAAAAAAACAAUCAGAUGUCACUAAGAUAUUGUGUAACAAUUCAUAUUAAACACAUGAUCUUGUCAGUCAAGAAGAAGAGAUUAAAACAAACACCUUGAGAGUUCAUGAGUAGAAGUAUACAGCCCUGCAUUCAUGAUAAUAUGGUGCAUUUUACCUACCUUGCAGCAGAAAGAGAUAUCUAAUUCCAUACACAGCAAUGUAACUGUUUAAAGUGCUCCUAAAAUUCAGACAAAACAAAUUAUAAAUAGUAUCAAGAUCAAAGAAGCUGAAAGUCCCUAUGUUUGAUGUAGGCACAGCAAAGUUUGAUGUAUAUGCUCAUUUCUCAGCACUGCAAGUAUGGAGAAACCAUCAGAAAGCAUGCUGAAAAUAGAGAGGGCUUCUAAAACAGAAAGCUCCUGCCUGUUUUACUGAAGGCUACCAGAUUCUUUCUCAGAAAUUUUGUACAGUUCAGAGGCACAAAUGCUCUUUUAGGUCCUUUGAAGCACUGGGUUUAAUAUCGGAAUUUAAUCUUGGCUCUAGUCUCCAAUUCCUUACAUAGUCAUUCAAGCAAUCUUGGGGACCAAGUCUUCCAAUAGCAUAGUGAUAUUCAUGCCUGAAGUGGGAGGAAUAGAUAUCCUCCUCAUUAACAAGGGAUGAGAGAUCAUGUUUCAUAGGCAAAAUACUCAUGCAUGCAAAAAUGUAACUUUUCCAGUAAUUUUUUUAGUACUGAAAUUAGCUUAGCUCAUUAGCUCUCUCUUCUACCUAGUAGCAGGGAAUGCAGUUUUGCUAACCCAGGUGACUCAUUAUUUCUGUUUUCAAGUUUAGUUUAUUUUAGGUAAAUUUUUGAAUUCAUAAUGUUUU
This 1994-nucleotide long non-coding RNA is filed under the name Homo sapiens (human). RNAcentral's name for it is "HSALNT0401062". The record is from RNAcentral. Lineage: Eukaryota; Metazoa; Chordata; Mammalia; Primates; Hominidae.